GGUGAGGUGUCCGAGUGGCUGAAGGAGCACGCCUGGAAAGUGUGUAUACGGCAACGUUAUCGGGGGUUCGAAUCCCCCCCUCACCGCCA
Molecule: transfer RNA, 89 nt
Filed under: Klebsiella pneumoniae
Lineage: Bacteria; Pseudomonadati; Pseudomonadota; Gammaproteobacteria; Enterobacterales; Enterobacteriaceae
Description: tRNA-Ser(gga)
Rfam family: tRNA
About the family: Transfer RNA (tRNA) molecules are approximately 80 nucleotides in length. Their secondary structure includes four short double-helical elements and three loops (D, anti-codon, and T loops). Further hydrogen bonds mediate the characteristic L-shaped molecular structure. tRNAs have two regions of fundamental functional importance: the anti-codon, which is responsible for specific mRNA codon recognition, and the 3' end, to which the tRNAs corresponding amino acid is attached (by aminoacyl-tRNA synthetases). tRNAs cope with the degeneracy of the genetic code in two manners: having more than one tRNA (with a specific anti-codon) for a particular amino acid; and 'wobble' base-pairing, i.e. permitting non-standard base-pairing at the 3rd anti-codon position.
Source: RNAcentral